UGCAUCUGAAGCCUGACGAGGAUGAGAACCUCCGGGGGCAAGAGGUUCGACCCGAGCGAAGCGAGAGAACGUUGCGUCAGCAACGGCCCGCAGGGCGAGCCAC
Molecule: small RNA, 103 nt
Filed under: Salmonella enterica
Lineage: Bacteria; Pseudomonadati; Pseudomonadota; Gammaproteobacteria; Enterobacterales; Enterobacteriaceae
Description: partial RtT sRNA
Rfam family: RtT RNA
About the family: This family represents a bacterial cis-regulatory element known as RtT RNA. The exact function of RtT is unknown although it is thought that it may be involved in changing the cellular response in relation to amino acid starvation.
Source: RNAcentral